GAUGAACGCUGGCGGCGUGCCUAAUACAUGCAAGUCGAGCGAACAGACGAGGAGCUUGCUCCUCUGACGUUAGCGGCGGACGGGUGAGUAACACGUGGAUAACCUACCUAUAAGACUGGGAUAACUUCGGGAAACCGGAGCUAAUACCGGAUAAUAUAUUGAACCGCAUGGUUCCAUAGUGAAAGACGGUUUUGCUGUAACUUAUAGAUGGAUCCGCGCCGCAUUAUCUAGUUGGUAAGGUAACGGCUUACCAAGGCAACGAUGCGUAGCCGACCUGAGAGGGUGAUCGGCCACACUGGAACUGAGACACGGUCCAGACGCCUACGGGAGGCAGCAGUAGGGAAUCUUCCGCAAUGGGCGAAAGCCUGACGGAGCAACGCCGCGUGAGUGAUGAAGGUCUUCGGAUCGUAAAACUCUGUUAUUAGGGAAAAACAAAUGUGUAAGUAACUAUGCACGUCUUGACGGUACCUAAUCAGAAAGCCACGGCUAAAUACGUG
RNAcentral lists this ribosomal RNA (497 nucleotides) under uncultured bacterium. Its description in RNAcentral is "partial 16S ribosomal RNA". It matches the Rfam family "Bacterial small subunit ribosomal RNA", at positions 28 to 507 of the family's 1533-position model. The record is from RNAcentral.